UACAGAGGUCCCGAGCGUUGUUCGGAUUCAUUGGGCGUAAAGGGUGCGUAGGCGGCGCGGUCAGUCUGGUGUGAAAUCCCCGGGCUCAACCCGGGAACUGCAUUGGAUACUGCCGUGCUAGAGUACUGGAGAGGGAACUGGAAUUUACGGUGUAGCAGUGAAAUGCGUAGAGAUCGUAAGGAAGGCCAGUGGCGAAGGCGAGUCCCUGGACAGUGACUGACGCUGAGGCACGAAGGCCAGGGGAGCAAACGGG
RNAcentral lists this ribosomal RNA (253 nucleotides) under uncultured bacterium. Its description in RNAcentral is "partial 16S ribosomal RNA". It matches the Rfam family "Bacterial small subunit ribosomal RNA", at positions 524 to 776 of the family's 1533-position model. The record is from RNAcentral.